RNAcentral lists this ribosomal RNA (230 nucleotides) under uncultured microorganism. RNAcentral's name for it is "partial 16S ribosomal RNA". It matches the Rfam family "Bacterial small subunit ribosomal RNA", at positions 524 to 753 of the family's 1533-position model. The record is from RNAcentral.
UACGUAGGGGGCAAGCGUUAUCCGGAUUUACUGGGUGUAAAGGGAGCGUAGACGGCGAGACAAGUCUGAAGUGAAAUGCCAGUGCUCAACACUGGAACUGCUUUGGAAACUGCCUGGCUGGAGUGCGGGAGAGGUAAGUGGAAUUCCUAGUGUAGCGGUGAAAUGCGCAGAUAUCAGGAGGAACACCGAUGGCGAAGGCAGGUCUCUGGGCCGCAACUGACGCUGAGGAG